RNAcentral lists this small RNA (150 nucleotides) under Arabidopsis thaliana (thale cress). RNAcentral's name for it is "ATSL204360". The record is from RNAcentral. Lineage: Eukaryota; Viridiplantae; Streptophyta; Magnoliopsida; Brassicales; Brassicaceae.
UAUAAGUUCUUAUACUCAAUCAUACACAUGACAUCAAGUCAUAUUCGACUCCAAAACACUAACAAGGCUUCUUCUUGCUUCUCAAAGCUUUGAUGGUCUAGCCAAAUUCCAUAUGAGUCUUUACCUUUGUAUCUUCUAACAAGGAAACAC